Molecule: ribosomal RNA, 354 nt
Filed under: Triticum aestivum (bread wheat)
Lineage: Eukaryota; Viridiplantae; Streptophyta; Magnoliopsida; Poales; Poaceae
Description: partial small subunit ribosomal RNA
Source: RNAcentral
AUGCCAACUAAGAAUGUGAAGAUCAAUAUAUCUGAAAAAGUGAUACAUACAAUCAGUAGAAACAGAGGGCAAAAAUACAAAGGAACGAAACAGAUAAAAUUGUUGCUUACGAAUCAAGUGCUGCUUCUUCUGCUUCUACACGGAGAUAUAUUGGCUGUGAGUAUCGAGCAACUGCUUUGCUUUGCAUGCUAUAACCCCCGAAGGGCAUCCUCGUCGUUCAAUAGCCGUUGGCCGUCGUUGUUGCAACAGCAGUCACAUCGCGGGCGCGCGAUAGUUGGUGUUGAGUUCAGUGAGGAUGCAGGCCGAGAGCCACGCAGGUCGCCGCCGGCGAGCACCUUAACCCCACACGGCUAG